CUAUCACCGGUCUCAUUCUGGCGCAUUCACUCUGGUAAACACAGCUGAAAGUCCCGUUGGUGUGUUUGGAUACCGCUAUAGAAGACCAGCCAAAUAUUUACAGUCCGUUACAACAGGAUGUUUCUGAACGCCCAACUUGCCCUAACAGGAAGCAAAGUAGAGGAUGUCAAGCCAAAGCAGUUCUCCACUGAAUACACAUCAAAUUCAUCUCCUCAAGUUCAUCUGGAGAUCCAGGGCCGCAGCUGUGGCCACAUCGUGGAUUAUGAUGGGGGAUCGCGAAUCAGA
Long non-coding RNA from Hippoglossus stenolepis (Pacific halibut), 285 nucleotides. RefSeq lists it as uncharacterized. The transcript is spliced from 3 exons. NCBI's taxonomy places the organism in Eukaryota, Metazoa, Chordata, Actinopteri, Pleuronectiformes, Pleuronectidae. The record is from RefSeq and is a predicted model, not a curated record.